GGUAUCCUGGCUCGAGGACGAACGCUGGCGGCGUGCCUAAUACAUGCAAGUCGAGCGAGCGGAACCAACAGAUUUACUUCGGUAAUGACGUUGGGAAAGCGAGCGGCGGAUGGGUGAGUAACACGUGGGGAACCUGCCCCUAAGUCUGGGAUACCAUUUGGAAACAGGUGCUAAUACCGGAUAAUAAAGCAGAUCGCAUGAUCAGCUUUUGAAAGGCGGCGUAAGCUGUCGCUAAGGGAUGGCCCCGCGGUGCAUUAGCUAGUUGGUAAGGUAACGGCUUACCAAGGCGACGAUGCAUAGCCGAGUUGAGAGACUGAUCGGCCACAUUGGGACUGAGACACGGCCCAAACUCCUACGGGAGGCAGCAGUAGGGAAUCUUCCACAAUGGACGCAAGUCUGAUGGAGCAACGCCGUGUGAAGGUAGAAGGCCUACGGGUCAUGAACUUCUUUUCCCGGAGAAGAAGCAAUGACGGUAUCCGGGGAAUAAGCAUCGGCUAACUCUGUG
This 505-nucleotide ribosomal RNA is filed under the name uncultured Lactobacillaceae bacterium. RNAcentral's name for it is "bacterial SSU rRNA". It matches the Rfam family "Bacterial small subunit ribosomal RNA", at positions 26 to 507 of the family's 1533-position model. Lineage: Bacteria; Bacillati; Bacillota; Bacilli; Lactobacillales; Lactobacillaceae. The record is from RNAcentral.